GAUGAACGCUGGCGGCGUGCCUAAUACAUGCAAGUCGAGCGAACGGACGAGAAGCUUGCUUCUCUGAUGUUAGCGGCGGACGGGUGAGUAACACGUGGAUAACCUACCUAUAAGACUGGUAUAACUUCGGGAAACCGGAGCUAAUACCGGAUAAUAUUUUGAACCGCAUGGUUCAAAAGUGAAAGACGGUCUUGCUGUCACUUAUAGAUGGAUCCGCGCUGCAUUAGCUGGUUGGUAAGGUAACGGCUUACCAAGGCAACGAUGCAUAGCCGACCUGAGAGGGUGAUCGGCCACACUGGACCUGAGACACGGUCCAGACUCCUACGGGAGGCAGCAGUAGGGAAUCUUCCGCAAUGGGCGAAAGCCUGACGGAGCAACGCCGCGUGAGUGAUGAAGGUCUUCGGAUCGUAAAACUCUGUUAUUAGGGAAGAACAUAGGUGUAAGUAACUGUGCACAUCUUGACGGUACCUAAUCAGAAAGCCACGGCUAACUACGUG
RNAcentral lists this ribosomal RNA (497 nucleotides) under uncultured bacterium. RNAcentral describes it as "partial 16S ribosomal RNA". It matches the Rfam family "Bacterial small subunit ribosomal RNA", at positions 28 to 507 of the family's 1533-position model. The record is from RNAcentral.